AUACGGAGGAUGCAAGCGUUAUCCGGAUUUAUUGGGUUUAAAGGGUGCGUAGGCGGAUGAUUAAGCGUGAGGUGAAAUGCCACUGCUCAACAGUGGAACUGCCUCGCGAACUGGUUGUCUUGAAUGCUCCUGCCGUGGGAGGAAUGUGUGGUGUAGCGGUGAAAUGCAUAGAGAUCACACAGAAUACCGAUUGCGAAGGCAUCUCACGAAGGGGUGAUUGACGCUGAGGCACGAAAGCGUGGGGAUCAAACAGGAUUAGAUACCCUGGUAGUCCACGCAGUAAACGAUGAUAACUAACCGCUGGGUCGUAGUGAUUCAGUGGCCAAGCGAAAGCGAUAAGUUAUCCACCUGGGGAGUACGACCGCAAGGUUGAAACUCAAAGGAAUUGACGGGG
This 394-nucleotide ribosomal RNA is filed under the name uncultured bacterium. RNAcentral describes it as "partial 16S ribosomal RNA". It matches the Rfam family "Bacterial small subunit ribosomal RNA", at positions 523 to 918 of the family's 1533-position model. The record is from RNAcentral.